This is a long non-coding RNA of Mauremys mutica (yellowpond turtle), 520 nucleotides long. RefSeq lists it as uncharacterized. The record is from RefSeq and is a predicted model, not a curated record. NCBI's taxonomy places the organism in Eukaryota, Metazoa, Chordata, Testudines, Geoemydidae. The transcript is spliced from 3 exons.
CAAGAAGGAUGCAAUUUACAGGCCCUUACACCUUCAGGUCCCAGCCAGAACCAGGAAGAGCAAUAUGAGAGGCAGUACAAAAGACUAUUUGCUGCAUUUCUGGCCUAAUUUAGGAGGAGGAAGCAUCAAGCAUCUGAGAAAGAAACCUGUUUGUUCAGGACGUCCAGUCCAGACUUGCACAGAACAACUAGUGAUGGACAAUGGAUCACAAUUCACUGCAGCAGAACGUAAGUCAUUCUGAAUGAAAUAAGAUCUAGAUCAUAUUACUAGCAGCCCACAUUACCCACAAGUGAAUAGAGAGGCUGAAGAUCCUGUACAAACAGCUAGGAUAAUCUUACAUCAGGAAGAUCCAUUCCUUGCUCUUUUGAGUUAAAGAGCAGCUACUGAAUAUCAUUGAAUCAUAGAAGAUUAGGGUUGGAAGAUUAGGGUUGGAACAGGAGGUCAUCUAGUCCAGCAGCAUUAGCCGCAUCAUUCUGAACACCUUGAAGUUUACGGAGCAUGGAGAUUAGGAAAAGCAUAA